CAAUAGCGUAUAUUUAAGUUGUUGCAGUUAAAAAGCUCGUAGUUGGAUUUCGGAUGGGAUUUGCCGGUCCGUCGUUACGAUGUGCACUGGCCAGUCCUAUCUUGUUGUCGGGGACUAGCUCCUUGGAUUCACUUCCUGGGACUAGGAGCUGACGAGGUUACUUUGAGUAAAUUAGAGUGUUCAAAGCAAGCCUACGCUCUGAAUACAUUAGCAUGGAAUAACACGAUAGGACUCUGGCUUAUCUUGUUGGUCUGUGAGACCAGAGUAAUGAUUAAGAGGGACAGUCGGGGACAUUCGUAUUUCAUUGUCAGAGGUGAAAUUCUUGGAUUUAUGAAAGACGAACUUCUGCGAAAGCAUUUGUCAAGGAUGUUUUCAUUAAC
RNAcentral lists this ribosomal RNA (380 nucleotides) under uncultured eukaryote. RNAcentral's name for it is "partial 18S ribosomal RNA". It matches the Rfam family "Eukaryotic small subunit ribosomal RNA", at positions 592 to 977 of the family's 1831-position model. The record is from RNAcentral.